Molecule: ribosomal RNA, 715 nt
Filed under: uncultured Clavaria
Lineage: Eukaryota; Fungi; Basidiomycota; Agaricomycetes; Agaricales; Clavariaceae
Description: eukaryotic LSU rRNA
Rfam family: 5.8S ribosomal RNA (bases 282-435)
Source: RNAcentral
CUUGGUCAUUUAGAGGAAGUAAAAGUCGUAACAAGGUUUCCGUAGGUGAACCUGCGGAAGGAUCAUUAUCGAUUUUUAAAGAUGUGCUGGCACUCCUUCACCGGUUUGCAUGUGCACUCUGCAAAAUCUCCUUCUCUUACCCCACUGUGCACACCCAAGUAGACAAACAGAGUUACAGAGCAAUCUGUGUAAUUCCUGAUUUGCCUAUGUUUUUAUCAAACACCAAUAACAAUCUCAGAAUGAUCUAUAUAGUAAGCUUUUAACAAGCUGAAAUUUAAUACAACUUUCAACAAUGGAUCUCUUGGUUCUCGCAUCGAUGAAGAACGCAGCGAAUUGCGAUAUGUAAUGUGAAUUGCAGAAUUCAGUGAAUCAUCGAAUCUUUGAACGCACCUUGCACCCUCUGGCAUUCCGGAGGGUAUGCCUGUUUGAGUGUCAUUAAUCUCUCAACACAAGAAACUUUGUCUCCUUGUGCUUGGAUAUUGAAGGUUUUGCUGGCGCAAACAACUGUCAGCUCCUUUUAAAUGUAUUAGCAGAGCAGUAUAGGACUGGCCUCGGUUUGAUAAGAAACUUUAUCUAUGCUGUCGCUGGGUUUUCCUCUUUGUGCUCAGCUUCAAAUUGUCUUCGGACUGUCUCUUGAGGCAACAAAAUCUCUAUUGAUCGACCUCAAAUCAGGUAGGACUACCCGCUGAACUUAAGCAUAUCAAUAAGCGGAGGA